Molecule: small RNA, 1286 nt
Filed under: Pongo abelii (Sumatran orangutan)
Lineage: Eukaryota; Metazoa; Chordata; Mammalia; Primates; Hominidae
Description: retained intron
Source: RNAcentral
AGGGGCGGGGGUAAAGGCUGAUACACGGGCAGGGGUGGGCCAAGGUGGCCCCUACAAAGACCCAGGUGGGAAUCCUGACUCGGCCCGCCCCUCCAAGGCUCAGUUUUCUCAUCAUUACAAUGGGUAGAAGAGGGCGCUCAGCGUCCCUGCUCGCGUCCCCCUCGCCCUGCUGAACUAGGGCCCCUGCACAUCCCCAUCUGUGAGGCACCUUGCAUAGGGGACUCCAGACCAGUAUCUUCCACUCCCAGCGGAUAUCAGGGGACCGCUCGAGUCGUGCCUGCGCCGGGAGGUGGACCCGCAGCUGCCCCGGGUCGUGCAGACCCUGCUGCGCACCGUGGAAGCCUCGCUCGAGGCGGUGCGGACCCUCCUGGCUCAAGGCAUGGACCGACUGUCCCACCGCCUGCGCCAGAGCCCCUCGGGCACGCGGCUGCGCAGGGAGGUUUACUCAUUUGGGGAGAUGCCGUGGGACUUGGCGCUGAUGCAGACAUGCUACCGUGAGGCUGAGCGGAGCCGGGGGCGCUUGGGGCAGCUGGCAGCACCGUUUGGCUUUCUGGGGAUGCAGAGCCUUGUGUUUGGGGCCCAAGAUCUUGCACAGCAGCUCAUGGCUGACGCCGUGGCCACCUUCCUGCAGCUGGCUGACCAGUGUCUGACCACGGCCCUCAACUGUGACCAGGCUGCCCAGAGGCUGGAGAGAGUCAGGGGGCGCGUGCUGAAGGUGUGGACUGUGGGUACGGGGUGGCAUGGGGUGGCAGUGGGCCUGGGUGCUCAGAUGGUUGCUGGAUGCACCGCUGGCUGUGUUGUGCAGAAAUUCGAAUCGGACAGCGGGUUGGCGCAGAGGAGGUUCAUCCGAGGCUGGGGUCUCUGCAUCUUUUUACCUUUUGUGCUGAGCCAACUCGAGCCAAGCUGCAAAAAGGUGAGUUAAUGGGAAGCAUGCAAGAGGGUCUGACAGCAUCACCAUGCAUCCACGUAAAGUGGGCAAGAAUGCUCUUUGAGGCUGGGUGCAGUGGCUCACGCCUGUAAUCCCAGCAAUUUGGGAGGCCAAGGUGGGCGGAUCACGAGGUCAGAAGUUUGAGACUAGCCUGGCCAACAUAGUGAAACCCCGUCUCUACUAAAAAUACAAAAAAUUAGCCAGGCGUGGUGGCAGGCGCCUGUAAUUCCAGCUACUCAGGAGGCUGAAGCAGGAAAAUCGCUUGAACUCGGGAAGGGGAGGUUGCAGUGAGCCAAGAUCGCGCCAUUGCACUCCAGCCUGGGCGACAGAGUGAAACGCCGUCUCAAAAAGAAAAAAA